GAUGAACGCUGGCGGCGUGCCUAAUACAUGCAAGUCGAGCGAACAGACGAGGAGCUUGCUCCUCUGACGUUAGCGGCGGACGGGUGAGUAACACGUGGAUAACCUACCUAUAAGACUGGGAUAACUUCGGGAAACCGGAGCUAAUACCGGAUAAUAUAUUGAACCGCAUGGUUCAAUAGUGAAAGACGGUUUUGCUGUCACUUAUAGAUGGAUCCGCGCCGCAUUAGCUCGUUGGUAAGGUAACGGCUUACCAAGGCAACGAUGCGUAGCCGACCUGAGAGGGUGAUCGGCCACACUGGAACUGAGACACGGUCCAGACUCCUACGGGAGGCCGCAGUAGGGAAUCUUCCGCAAUGGGCGAAAGCCUGACGGAGCAACGCCGCGUGAGUGAUGAAGGUCUUCGGAUCGUAAAACUCUGUUAUUAGGGAAGAACAAAUGUGUAAGUAACUAUGCACGUCUUGACGGUACCUAAUCAGAAAGCCACGGCUAACUACGUG
This 497-nucleotide ribosomal RNA is filed under the name uncultured bacterium. RNAcentral describes it as "partial 16S ribosomal RNA". It matches the Rfam family "Bacterial small subunit ribosomal RNA", at positions 28 to 507 of the family's 1533-position model. The record is from RNAcentral.